GUUCGAGCGUCAUUACAACCCUCACGCCUAGCGUGGUAUUGGGCUCGCCCUGUAGGGCUUGCCUUAAAGUCAGUGGCGGCACCGUCUGACCCCUAAGCGUAGUAAUAUUUCUCGCUUCUGGGCGCUGGAUGGAGGCCUGCCAGGAAACCCCCACUUUACAGGUUGACCUCGGAUCAGGUAGGGAUACCCGCUGAACUUAA
This 200-nucleotide unclassified non-coding RNA is filed under the name soil metagenome. Its description in RNAcentral is "partial contains internal transcribed spacer 2 and large subunit ribosomal RNA". The record is from RNAcentral.